RNAcentral lists this transfer-messenger RNA (466 nucleotides) under Endomicrobium sp. It matches the Rfam family "transfer-messenger RNA". Rfam says of the family: Bacterial tmRNA, also known as 10Sa RNA or SsrA, is named for its dual tRNA and mRNA-like properties. Its role is to liberate the mRNA from a stalled ribosome. The record is from RNAcentral. Lineage: Bacteria; Pseudomonadati; Elusimicrobiota; Endomicrobiia; Endomicrobiales; Endomicrobiaceae.
GGGGGUGAACAGGUUUCGACGAGAACGAUUGAUGUUAAGACAGCAGGUCGGAGUUAGUCGAUGGCUCCGUAAAAAUCGACUAAAAAAUAAAUGACAGUAAUUCUAUUCCAAUGCAUAACACGAAUUCUCUCGCGGGUUUGGGAGGAGUUAUGUUAGCCCUUUUAGCUUUAAGAACAAGAAAGACUAACACAAAGCGUGAGAAUUUUAGAAUGCAGGAAGUGUCAAUGGCCGCAUAAGACGGCCACGUUUUACCUUAGACACCUGCUAUUAGGAUAAAACGACAAGAAGCAGGUUAGUUUUAAACUUGUUUACGUUGCUAGUUUAAAAUGAAACUAAAACAGCGUUAGUUUAUAAGGCGAGCUUGUUUGGAAGCGGCGUUAUAAAUGAGGAAAUAUUCCAGACUAAACCUGUAGCGGUCUUACUGAAGCAUUUUCGGACGCGGGUUCAAUUCCCGCCACCUCCAUCU